GUGCCAGCCGCCGCGGUAAUACCGGCAGCCCAAGUGAUGGCCGCUGUUAUUGGGCCUAAAGCGUCCGUAGCUGGCCGCACGAGUCCGUCGGGAAAUCCGCCCGCUCAACGGGCGGCCGUCCGGCGGAACCUGUGUGGCUUGGGACCGGGAGGCCUGAGGGGUACGAUCGGGGUAGGAGUGAAAUCCUGUAAUCCCGCUCGGACCGCCGAUGGGGAAACCACCGCAGGAGAACGGAUCCGACAGUGAGGGACGAAAGCCAGGGUCUCGAACCGGAUUAGAAACCCGUGUGUCC
This 292-nucleotide ribosomal RNA is filed under the name uncultured bacterium. Its description in RNAcentral is "partial 16S ribosomal RNA". It matches the Rfam family "Archaeal small subunit ribosomal RNA", at positions 455 to 747 of the family's 1478-position model. The record is from RNAcentral.